This 305-nucleotide long non-coding RNA is filed under the name Anas platyrhynchos platyrhynchos (common mallard). Its description in RNAcentral is "lncRNA (ENSAPLG00000017192.1)". The record is from RNAcentral. Lineage: Eukaryota; Metazoa; Chordata; Aves; Anseriformes; Anatidae.
AUGAAGUCGCAAAGAACCGAUCAAUGCCAACUGAAAUCCAAGGUCAAGUUGUUGUUGACUUCAGUAGAUACCAAAUCCAAAAAUGGUGACAGAAGAGACCCAGAAGGAAGAGUGCAACUAUUUCAGCUUUGCCAAAGACAUCUGGGAUUAGAGUACUAAAGUGACGUGGUAUGGAGUGUCUCUAGGGCAGGGAAGAAUCCAAAGGCAAGCAUUUGAGGUAUGCGGAUGAAGAGGUAAGAACAAUUUUAUUCAUAUUUAAUAAUACUUUUUCUUACUGAUAUUUUUAUACAUUUAAAAAAUCAAUU